AGAGUUUGAUCAUGGCUCAGGAUGAACGCUGGCGGCGUGCCUAAUACAUGCAAGUCGAGCGGCAGCGCGAGUAGUUUACUACUUGGCGGCGAGCGGCGGACGGCUGAGUAACACGUAGGAACGUACCCCAAAGUGAGGGAUAAGCUCCAGAAAUGGUGUCUAAUACCGCAUGUGCUCUAAGGAGUAAAGCUUUAUGCGCUUUGGGAACGGCCUGCGUAUGAUUAGUUUGUUGGUGAGGUAAUGGCUCACCAAGACUACGAUCAUUAGCUGGUCUGAGAGGAUGAUCAGCCAGACUGGGACUGAGACACGGCCCAGACUCCUACGGGAGGCAGCAGUAGGGAAUUUUCCACAAUGGGCGAAAGCCUGAUGGAGCAACGCCGCGUGCAGGAUGAACCCCCUCGGGGCGUAAACUGCUUUUAUAUGUGACGAAUAUGACGGUAGCAUAUGAAUAAGGAUCGGCUAACUCCGUGCCAGCAGCCGCGGUCAUACGGAGGAUCCAAGCGUUAUCCGGAAUUACUGGGCGUAAAGAGUUGCGUAGGUGGCAUAGUAAGUUAGUAGUGAAAGAGUGGGGCUCAACCCCAUACACAUUACUAAAACUGCUAAGCUAGAGGAUGAGAGAGGUUAUUGGAAUUCCCUGUGUAGGAGUGAAAUCCGUAGAUAUAGGGAGGAACACCGAUGGCGUAGGCAGAUAACUGGCUCAUUCCUGACACUAAGGCACGAAAGCGUGGGUAGCAAACGGGAUUAGAUACCCUGGUAGUCC
This 760-nucleotide ribosomal RNA is filed under the name uncultured bacterium. RNAcentral describes it as "bacterial SSU rRNA". It matches the Rfam family "Bacterial small subunit ribosomal RNA", at positions 8 to 796 of the family's 1533-position model. The record is from RNAcentral.